UACGGAGGGUGCUAACGUUGUCCGGAUUUACUGGGCGUAAAGCGCAUGUAGGUGGUUUGGCAAGUCUAUGGUUAAAGACCAACGCUCAACGUUGGACCGGUUGUUGAAACUGCCUGACUAGAGGGUAGCAGGGGUAAGCGGAACUUUGAGUGUAGGAGUGAAAUCCGUAGAUAUUCAAAGGAACACCAAUGGCGAAGGCAGCUUACUGGGCUAUUUCUGACACUGAGAUGCGAAAGCGUGGGGAGCAAACGGG
RNAcentral lists this ribosomal RNA (253 nucleotides) under uncultured bacterium. RNAcentral's name for it is "partial 16S ribosomal RNA". It matches the Rfam family "Bacterial small subunit ribosomal RNA", at positions 524 to 776 of the family's 1533-position model. The record is from RNAcentral.